GAUGAACGCUGGCGGCGUGCCUAAUACAUGCAAGUCGAGCGAACGGACGAGAAGCUUGCUUCUCUGAUGUUAGCGGCGGACGGGUGAGUAACACGUGGAUAACCUACCUAUAAGACUGGGAUAACUUCGGGAAACCGGAGCUAAUACCGGAUAAUAUUUUGAACCGCAUGGUUCAAAAGUGAAAGACGGUCUUGCUGUCACUUAUAGAUGGAUCCGCGCUGCAUUAGCUAGUUGGUAAGGUAACGGCUUACCAAGGCCACGAUGCAUAGCCGACCUGAGAGGGUUAUCCGCCACACUGGAACUGAGACACGGUCCAGACUCCUACGGGUGGCAGCAGUAGGGAAUCUUCCGCAAUGGGCGAAAGCCUGACGGAGCAACGCCGCGUGAGUGAUGAAGGUCUUCGGAUCGUAAAACUCUGUUAUUAGGGAAGAACAUAUGUGUAAGUAACUAUGCACAUCUUGCCGGUACCUAAUCAGAAAGCCACGGCUAACUACGUG
Molecule: ribosomal RNA, 497 nt
Filed under: uncultured bacterium
Lineage: Bacteria
Description: partial 16S ribosomal RNA
Rfam family: Bacterial small subunit ribosomal RNA
Source: RNAcentral